AGCUUUCCAAAGUGUUCCUCUUGACAUGCACACUUUCAAUCUCCCCCUUUUUGAUGAUGACAAACACUACAUCAACUUCAUCAAUUGUAAUAACAAUUGUUUGAUGAAUAAGCUUGAAGAUUGUGUUGGCAUGAUUGAUAUGAUGCGCAAAUAUAUCGGAAGCUGUUAUUACGAUCAACCUGCACAAUCAAAAACAACAAAACAACCUUUCUCCCCCUUUUGACAUUAUCAAAAAGAUAACCCAG
This 245-nucleotide long non-coding RNA is filed under the name Lupinus angustifolius (narrow-leaved blue lupine). RNAcentral's name for it is "long non-coding RNA (LANG_LNC002298)". The record is from RNAcentral. Lineage: Eukaryota; Viridiplantae; Streptophyta; Magnoliopsida; Fabales; Fabaceae.